Bombus terrestris (buff-tailed bumblebee) is the source of this 2710-nucleotide long non-coding RNA. RefSeq lists it as uncharacterized. Lineage: Eukaryota; Metazoa; Arthropoda; Insecta; Hymenoptera; Apidae. The record is from RefSeq and is a predicted model, not a curated record. The transcript has 5 exons.
CUUAGCUGUUUUAUCGUCAUGUUAAAAUAUCGUCGUGAUAAAAUAAUGCAUCCUGAUCUGCAUUCGAUGAAAAUCAACAUAAUCGAAAUAACAACCCGAAUUGCUUAUACGACCUCUUUAUGAAUUUUAUCUUUAGAGCGUUACACUUUUCUUAAAGCUGAAACACUUCUUUCUUCCUUUCACCAAAGAUAAUAUCGCAAACAUUAAUUAUCGUAUCAAUGUAAACAUAAGUUUUUAAUUAUAAUUACAAAUGUAUUGCGCAUUUCCAUUAAAUAUCACCACCAAAAUGCACUUAAUUUACAUGCAAAUAUGUAUAUGAAAUUAAUAAUAUAUUGUUAACGAAUAUCACAACGUUUGGUCGAAAUAUGGUAACAUUGCAGUUCGAGCACAAAGUGCAAUGCACUGUUAAAGACACGAUCAAAACCCGACAAACUAUAAUACUUUUGCAAAAGGAAAAAGUAGAAGAAACGAACCAAGCAUGGUCUGUUAUCGCCUAAUAAUAAAAAUGUGAUGCAAGUAAAUGUGAACAGUGAUAAGUGUGUGUGUGUGUGUUCAAUUCAAAAAUUCUAACACUAAUUAGAAAAGUCUAAUAAGAUUUUCACAUUUUCAUUGAAGCACUAGCAUAGCUACUGUUAAAUUACGAGGCUACUUACUGUUAUAUAACAGGCAAAGCCAAGAGAAUGAAACGCACAAUGCCAUUGUACCCUCGCAUUACAUCUUCUCAUGUUUCCGAAGUCAAUUUCCAUAAUUUGUUACGUAUAUAUGGCCAAUAAUUUUUCAUAUUACACGAUAAACACGUUACUGCUAAAUAUAUGCAAGAUAGAGAUCGAUAUGAUUCAAAGAAAUCAAAAACUUCGCAGUAAUGAAUGUUAUAUUACUGGUAGAUAAUUACAGGUAUUUAUGUGUUAUGUUAAUAUCGCAAAAAAUAUAAAAUGUUUGGUAUAAUACUAGGUAUUAAAGUAUCAAAAACGGAAUAAUGUCUCAAACAAUUUAUAUUCAAAAUUGUAGCAUUCAGUUAAUUAGUAGCUUAUCAAAGCACAUAUUACGCAACAGAGUUAACAGCAGAAAGAUAAACAAGCAUCGAUGUCAUGAUCUUCUAUUUUUAUCUUUAAUUUUCAAGCGUUUUCUAUGAUGAGACCAUGAGAUCUAGACAGACAUGCACAUCAUGUUUUACAAUGUCAUUCCUAUAAAAAUAGCAGAUACACGAAUCAAAUUAUCCGGAGUUAACUUUCUAGAAAAUAAAUCUUCUUGAUUUGCUUCAAAUUCACGGGAAAUAAAAUUGCAGUCAUUUGAGAAGAUCUAUUCCCAGGACAUUCUACGUUUUCAAACUUAUGCGCGCGUGCAAUUCACGAUGCUUUAUAUUCUUCUCUUUCAACGCCUACUCAUCUUCAUGCAAAAACUGGAUGGAAUACUAGCCUAUGUAGCUCGCAAUAGUAUCGCAUAACAAAAGAUCCUGAUGCAACACGACUCGUGUAGAAAAUGCUUUACACUUUUGAAGCUAAUCCUACGCUACGAAAUACUAGUAUUCGAAAUACUACUAUUCAACGAUUUCGUGAUGCGUCCAACUAAACCUGAAGUAGUACGUAAAUAGUAAAAUAAAGUAUACAUCUAUAAGGUGUCCGUGUUGGACAAAGCGUACAAGUUAAUAUAAGAGAGAUUGUAUUACUCGUGUGUUGCGGUCGGAAGCAGAAUGCUGAGAAACGCUGCACCAUGGUUAUUAAGCACACUGUUAAUUUUACUCAGGAAGGAAUAAAGAGAUUGUCUAGUGGUAGUCUGACAGGAAGGGUUUCACUUCCUCGAGAACCAAUUUCCUGUAACUGUAACAUUCGAUGCAGUAAUGAAUCCUUGUUGAAUAUUUGAAUAAAAAUCUUUAUUCGUAUGAUAAAUGUAAUAAUAUAAUUGAAGCUCGAACUCUUUAGUGUUAUUAAAGACUGAAGAGCCAGAAACCAUACAAAACCGACUAUCACUGAUCUGACCUUGUAAGAUAACCUUCCAAAAAUAAUAGCACCAGAGACUACUUAUAAUUCAAAUUGAAGUACGAACGAUAAGUAGAAAUUGAUAUCGGAGCACAAACUGCUAGAUAGGUGGACAAUUUCAAUGCAGAAAUUGAAAUAACACAAUAUAUAGUUCUAUACGAGUUAAAAAGAUCUUGGAAGAUUUUUCCCCGUUAUCAAAUAAGAACCAAAGAAUUCAAAGGGCAAAGAAUCUAGAUUACACGAAGCUACCAGAAAGUUCAUUCUAACGGCAUUUGCAAUAAUAGGCUACAGAUAUGCUAAUCCAUGUUUUUAUGAAUACAAAGAAGAAAGCGAAACAGUUUGCAACAUACUUUACCAAAUCGGACGACAUCAUUUGGAAAUUCAAAACAUCUUAAUACGAGAGCAAACUUUAAAAAUCGAUAAAAUUAAACUUAUAAAUGCUUAUAAUAAUCAUUUCAUAGAUAUCAAUAGGAAUCAAUUUUAUCUAACGAUAAUAUAAUAUUACAUUAUAUUAAUCUGUUUGAAUAUAAUUUCCUAGUUAUUUCCAUUGCUUGUGGACAACAAUUCGAAGUUGGUUCAGCAGCAAGCGCUAAAGAUAGAAUGUGUGCAUUAUUUCUGCCUCACAUACUUUCAUUUUUGCAAUAUAGGAGUUGUUUGAAGGUAUGUUAAGAGCCCGAAGCAAAGAUCAUAAAUAUGCACAGCCACUUCCUUCGAAUGCCAGGUGACGUUAGGUA